AUUGAACGCUGGCGGCAUGCCUUACACAUGCAAGUCGAACGGCAGCACGGGAGCUUGCUCCUGGUGGCGAGUGGCGAACGGGUGAGUAAUACAUCGGAACGUGCCCUGAAGUGGGGGAUAACGUAGCGAAAGUUACGCUAAUACCGCAUAUUCUGUGAGCAGGAAAGCAGGGGAUCUUCGGACCUUGUGCUUUGGGGAGCGGCCGAUGUCGGAUUAGCUAGUUGGUGGGGUAAAGGCCUACCAAGGCGACGAUCCGUAGCGGGUCUGAGAGGAUGAUCCGCCACACUGGAACUGAGACACGGUCCAGACUCCUACGGGAGGCAGCAGUGGGGAAUUUUGGACAAGUGGGCGCAAGCCUGAUCCAGCCAUGCCGCGUGAGCGAAGAAGGCCUUCGGGUGUAAAGCUCUGUCUGGAGGGACGAAGGAAGUGGACGGUACCGUCCGGAGGAGCCACGGCUAACUACGUGCCGAGCAGCCGCGGUAAGUCACGAGAGUAC
Molecule: ribosomal RNA, 496 nt
Filed under: uncultured bacterium
Lineage: Bacteria
Description: bacterial SSU rRNA
Rfam family: Bacterial small subunit ribosomal RNA
Source: RNAcentral